This 448-nucleotide ribosomal RNA is filed under the name uncultured organism. RNAcentral describes it as "partial 16S ribosomal RNA". It matches the Rfam family "Bacterial small subunit ribosomal RNA", at positions 331 to 797 of the family's 1533-position model. The record is from RNAcentral.
GUACACUCCUGCGGGAGGCAGCAGUGGGGAAUAUUGGACAAUGGGCGCAAGCCUGAUCCAGCCAUGCCGCGUGAGUGAUGAAGGCCCUAGGGUUGUAAAGCUCUUUCACCGGUGAAGAUAAUGACGGUAACCGGAGAAGAAGCCCCGGCUAACUUCGUGCCAGCAGCCGCGGUAAUACGAAGGGGGCUAGCGUUGUUCGGAUUUACUGGGCGUAAAGCGCACGUAGGCGGACUAUUAAGUCAGGGGUGAAAUCCCGGGGCUCAACCCCGGAACUGCCUUUGAUACUGGUAGUCUUGAGUUCGAGAGAGGUGAGUGGAAUUCCGAGUGUAGAGGUGAAAUUCGUAGAUAUUCGGAGGAACACCAGUGGCGAAGGCGGCUCACUGGCUCGAUACUGACGCUGAGGUGCGAAAGCGUGGGGAGCAAACAGGAUUAGAAACCCUGUAGUCCC